This 397-nucleotide ribosomal RNA is filed under the name uncultured bacterium. RNAcentral's name for it is "partial 16S ribosomal RNA". It matches the Rfam family "Bacterial small subunit ribosomal RNA", at positions 523 to 918 of the family's 1533-position model. The record is from RNAcentral.
AUACGUAGGGGGCGAGCGUUGUCCGGAAUGAUUGGGCGUAAAGGGCGCGUAGGCGGCCCAGUAAGUCUGGAGUGAAAGUCCUGUUUUUAAGAUGGGAAUUGCUUUGGAUACUGUCGGGCUUGAGUGCAGGAGAGGUAAGUGGAAUUCCCAGUGUAGCGGUGAAAUGCGUAGAGAUUGGGAGGAACACCAGUGGCGAAGGCGACUUACUGGACUGCAACUGACGCUGAGGCGCGAAAGUGUGGGGAGCAAACAGGAUUAGAUACCCUGGUAGUCCACACUGUAAACGAUGAAUGCUAGGUGUAAGAGGUAUCGACCCCUUUUGUGCCGGAGUUAACACAAUAAGCAUUCCGCCUGGGGAGUACGGCCGCAAGGUUGAAACUCAAAGGAAUUGACGGGG